CAGUCGAGCGAAGCGCUUUGGAAAGAUUCUUCGGAUGAUUUCCUUUGUGACUGUGCGGCGGACGGGUGAGUAACGCGUGGGUAACCUGCCUCAUACAGGGGGAUAACAGUUAGAAAUGACUGCUAAUACCGCAUAAGACCACGGUACCGCAUGGUACAGUGGUAAAAACUCCGGUGGUAUGAGAUGGACCCGCGUCUGAUUAGGUAGUUGGUGGGGUAACGGCCUACCAAGCCGACGAUCAGUAGCCGACCUGAGAGGGUGACCGGCCACAUUGGGACUGAGACACGGCCCAGACUCCUACGGGAGGCAGCAGUGGGGAAUAUUGCACAAUGGAGGAAACUCUGAUGCAGCGACGCCGCGUGAAGGAUGAAGUAUUUCGGUAUGUAAACUUCUAUCAGCAGGGAAGAAAAUGACGGUACCUGACUAAGAAGCCCCGGCUAACUACGUGCCAGCAGCCGCGGUAAUACGUAGGGGGCAAGCGUUAUCCGGAUUUACUGGGUGUAAAGGGAGCGUAGACGGCACGGCAAGCCAGAUGUGAAAGCCCGGGGCUCAACCCCGGGACUGCAUUUGGAACUGCUGAGCUAGAGUGUCGGAGAGGCAAGUGGAAUUCCUAGUGUAGCGGUGAAAUGCGUAGAUAUUAGGAGGAACACCAGUGGCGAAGGCGGCUUGCUGGACGAUGACUGACGUUGAGGCUCGAAAGC
This 701-nucleotide ribosomal RNA is filed under the name uncultured bacterium. RNAcentral's name for it is "bacterial SSU rRNA". It matches the Rfam family "Bacterial small subunit ribosomal RNA", at positions 59 to 760 of the family's 1533-position model. The record is from RNAcentral.